UACGGAGGAUGCAAGCGUUAUCCGGAAUGAUUGGGCGUAAAGCGUCCGCAGGUGGCUGUGUAAGUCUGCUGUCAAAGAGCGAAGCUCAACUUCGUAAAGGCAGUGGAAACUACACGGCUAGAGUGCGUUCGGGGCAGAGGGAAUUCCUGGUGUAGCGGUGAAAUGCGCAGAUAUCAGGAGGAACACCGGUGGCGAAGGCGGAUCUCUGGGCCUGUCCUGACGCUGAGGCGCGAAAGCUAGGGGAGCGAACAGG
This 253-nucleotide ribosomal RNA is filed under the name uncultured bacterium. RNAcentral's name for it is "partial 16S ribosomal RNA". It matches the Rfam family "Bacterial small subunit ribosomal RNA", at positions 524 to 776 of the family's 1533-position model. The record is from RNAcentral.